GUUUGCCUUAAAGACUGUCAGUGAUGUUAAGUUGGGGGAGGGGCUUAUGACCAUUGUCAGUGUGAAAUCCACACAACGUCCCUUUUCUUAAAUUUUGAUCAGAUUCUGUUGGUCAUCUUUUGUGUUUUGGAACCAAACAAACUGCAGGUCAUCAUUGUGCUGCGGCUGAUGAACAGCAGCCUUCCACAGACUUUAUGAAAAUGCUGGUCAUCUUUGGAAUCCUGGUCAUGUCCACACAAGUGUCCACAGGUUUGCUGCCCAUGAACCCUGUUUGUAGAGUUACUCAGAGUGAUCCAUGUUAUGGAGCUGUGGGACGACCGCUGUACCUGCAGCUGCCAUCUGAGGAUGAAAUCAUCUUGAAGAGGAGCAACAGUGGAACUAAAACUACUAAUGGCAUUUUCAUGUUUAGAAAACAAACAAAAAAACAUUCAGAUUAUCCAAGAUGGCAGUUUGUUACUGAUAACAACACCAUGAUAAUCAGCAGUGCAGAGAAAAGAGACUCAGGGAAAUACACUUUAGAUACAUUUGAUUCAGCAGGGACAUCAACAGGCAUUUAUCACCUCCAGCUGGUUAUUGAAGCUGUGGUGUCCUCAGUGACUGUGACAGACAGCUGCUCCUCCAAGGACAAGAGGGAAGUUUACUGCUCAUCUGAUGGUGAUAAUGUGCUCUACAACUGGACUUUCCUACAUACACACCAACUGGCUGGUGGGAACCAGACUCUUCUGCUGGACAAGGAAGCUGUCGGAAGUGUGACCUGCUAUGCACAAAAUCAUGUUACCCGUGGACACAGAACUAUUGAACUACAUCAGUGUUCUGAAACAUCUCAUAUAAUGUCAACCAUGGACAUGGGAUGUGGACAGAUGACAUUUUUGGAUACCAGUUUCCUGGUGUUUGUGUCAGUGUGGCUCUUUGAGGUCAUCGUCCUGCUGUCCCUGUUAGUUGGAGCGUUUUACAUCUACACCAGAAUCUACAAGAAACAGAGAGCAGCUGAGGGUAAGACCGGUACGUUUAUCAUGGAGCAUAUUAACUAUAUAUUUGAACAAUAUUGUAACCUGAAUAUAU
This is a long non-coding RNA of Pygocentrus nattereri (red-bellied piranha), 1062 nucleotides long. Lineage: Eukaryota; Metazoa; Chordata; Actinopteri; Characiformes; Serrasalmidae. The record is from Ensembl.